ACAGGGAUUGCCCCAGUAACGGCGAGUGAAGCGGCAACAGCUCAAAUUUGAAAUCUGGCCCCCCCCCCGGGGGGGCCCGAGUUGUAAUUUGCAGAGGAUGCUUCUGGCGAGGUGCCUUCCGAGUUCCCUGGAACGGGACGCCGCAGAGGGUGAGAGCCCCGUCUGGUCGGACACCGAGCCUCUGUGAAGCUCCUUCGACGAGUCGAGUAGUUUGGGAAUGCUGCUCUAAACGGGAGGUAUAUGUCUUCUAAAGCUAAAUACCGGCCAGAGACCGAUAGCGCACAAGUAGAGUGAUCGAAAGAUGAAAAGCACUUUGAAAAGAGGGUUAAACAGUACGUGAAAUUGUUGAAAGGGAAGCGCUCACGACCAGACCUGGUCCCGGCGAAUCACCCGGCGUUCUCGCCGGUGCACUUCGACGGGCUUCCAGGCCAGCAUCAGUCCGCGCCGGGGGACAAAGGCGGCGGGAACGUGGCUCCCCAGGGAGUGUUAUAGCCCGCCGCGCAAUGCCCCGGGGGCGGACUGAGGACCGCGCGUCACCGCAAGGAUGCUGGCGUAAUGGUCGUCAGCGACCCGUCUUGAAACACGGACCAAGGAGUCGUCCUCGUAUGCGAGUGUUGGGGCGUCAAACCCCCCGCGCGUAAUGAAAGUGAACGGCAGGUGAGAGCCCUCGCGGGCGCAUCAUCGACCGAUCCUGAUGUUCUCGGAUGGAUUUGAGUAGGAGCAUACGGGGCCGGACCCGAAAGAAGGUGAACUAUGCCUGUGUAGGGUGAAGCCAGAGGAAACUCUGGUGGAGGCUCGCAGCGGUUCUGACGUGCAAAUCGAUCGUCAAACAUGGGCAUGGGGGCGAAAGACUAAUCGAAC
Molecule: ribosomal RNA, 861 nt
Filed under: Hypocrella raciborskii
Lineage: Eukaryota; Fungi; Ascomycota; Sordariomycetes; Hypocreales; Clavicipitaceae
Description: eukaryotic LSU rRNA
Rfam family: Eukaryotic large subunit ribosomal RNA
Source: RNAcentral